UACAGAGGGUGCUAGCGUUAAUCGGAUUUACUGGGCGUAAAGCGUGUGUAGGCGGUUUGUUAAGUCGGGUGUGAAAUCCCUGGGCUCAACCUGGGAAUUGCAUUCGAUACUGGCAAGCUAGAGUACGGUAGAGGGCGGCGGAAUUCCGGGUGUAGCGGUGAAAUGUGUAGAGAUCGGGAGGAACACCGGUGGCGAAGGCGGGUCUCUGGGCAAUUCCUGACGCUGAGGCGCGAAAGCGUGGGGAGCAAACGGG
This 253-nucleotide ribosomal RNA is filed under the name uncultured bacterium. Its description in RNAcentral is "partial 16S ribosomal RNA". It matches the Rfam family "Bacterial small subunit ribosomal RNA", at positions 524 to 776 of the family's 1533-position model. The record is from RNAcentral.